This is a long non-coding RNA of Asterias rubens (European starfish), 2403 nucleotides long. RefSeq lists it as uncharacterized. The transcript is spliced from 3 exons. The record is from RefSeq and is a predicted model, not a curated record. NCBI's taxonomy places the organism in Eukaryota, Metazoa, Echinodermata, Asteroidea, Forcipulatida, Asteriidae.
GAUGGAAAUGGUUGAGUGAGCACAUAUAUGCCAGUUCUGUUUAUGCAGCCAAGUGGUGUGCAGGUUGGUAAGUAUUUUGGAUUGCUUGUGGAUUCAGGGUGGUGUGACCACACCGACAUUAGUAGGUGUCUAUGUUAUCACUGCAAAGUCAAGUAUUCCUGGGGAAGGAUGGUAAUUUCACCGUGUAGAGUUUGAGCUUGAAGACUGACGGGGCAGUGGACUCAGUACUUGUGGCAUCAUCAGUACAAGGCUGGUAAAUGACAACCUGACAGCUUUAGUAACGAGAGACAAUCAGUGUUAUGUUAAAGGAGAUUUCCUGGAGCAAGUUGUGAGGAUUGCCGGCUGGAAAUCUACCUGCAUGUAACUUAAUCAUCUAGCGUCAUUUUAUUGGUUAGUGGUGCAAGACCCUGGCAUUUACAGCUGAUUGAACCCAACUUUAUUAAAGAGGGGAUAUAAACCAUGCCAGAACGGAAAGCAAACAGGCACCAGAUCUCAACGAUCAAACGCCAAGGAGCCAUCAGAAGGAAACCACCCCACCACCAUGAUGCCGACCCAGAGAACCCCAUCUUUGCCUCCAUCCACAAACUCUGGAGCAUGACCAACGGGAUCUUGCCUGAUGUGGUCGGACGUGUCCCCGAGGAACACAGGACAUUUGUGUCCCAUUUAUUUGGGGUUCUCAAGAUUUGUCUGUUGCUGCUAGCUCUACACAUGCUGUUCAGAGUUUUCUUUGGGAGUUAGCUGGAACCCCCCCCCCCCCCCCCGAAAAUCCCCCUAAAUGCCUGUAUCUAUUGCAAAUGUAAAUUUAUUUUUUACUGUACAAAGAACCAGGGUGUGAGUCUCUGCAGACAAAACAAGUCUCAAAGUUAGAUACCAUACAAACUUUUGGAGGCAAGUUGAAUGAUGGCUUUUGUACCUUUUGGUAGCCCCUUGGGUUAAGAUUUCACAGAGCUUUUAUUAGGAACAGUGUCCUCAUCACUAGAGAAGUAGAUCAAAUACCAUGAUUUCUAUAUGUGGACAAAAUAACAGUCGGGUUUCUUCGCCAGGCAGACAUAACGGCCCGUUUUGAAUCCAAGGCUUCGACUCCAGGCUAGCUUGGCCUUGCGGUUGUUUUGACAAUAUUGCUUGUGCUUUGCAUAUACGCGCUCAGGGCUUCAGACGAGAAGACAGAGCCUGCAGCCGAAUCCAAGCCGAAGCCGUGGUUUCGAAAAGGGCCAAAGAGUAUGAAAUCUGAUACUCAGAGAAAUUUCUAAUCCAUGAAAGAAAGAGCCAGGUGAAAUAAACUUGUCAACCAAAUGUUCAUGUAAUAAUAUCUCAUACCUACAGUGGAAAACAAAGUGUUCCCUGAAAGAAGUGUUGUGAUUGGCAGAUUGGAACAGAGAUGUCUUUUCUUAUGAGACACUUCAUAAUGAAGCUACUACUUGUGACUCAAAACAUUACUUGGAACUACUGUCUUACUUUGGACUUGGCUCCACAGAAUUGAGCAAUUUUCAUUGCUUUUAAUUUGUUACAAAAACUCUUGCCGUUUAACAGAACAAGAUUUCUUUGGCAAAAUCGAAGGGUUUCCUGAGCUUUGUGAACAAAAUAAAUGUCCAUAAUCGAUUAAUAAACAUUUCUCAUUAGAUAAAAAGUUAUCACUGGAGACAUCUCAUAAUGUUCACCAUUUUGAAGCAUUCAGAAAUAAUCGCAAAAGAUUAACAAUUAGGGAACCUUUUGUGUGAGAAGGUCGCAGAUUUGAUAUGCAGUUAAGAACGUUACAAUUGUGCUAAGAGCACCGCAUGAUUUCAAAUUGGGUUGUUUCACACUUGGCCUUGUACACAUCUGUUAGUUUGACUAUGUUAGAUGAUAUUCAUACAAUUUUAAAGGUAAUGUUUUCUUUUUAAACUAAUUUUAUAAUUAAGUCAUGUGGUCUUCAACUUGAGAAUGAGUACUUCUUAAGUAAUUUAAAGUUCUAAAGGCAGGUUGGUGUAGCGUCGUGUCUUGCCUCGCCUUCCACCUGGGGGACCCCGGUUCCAAUCCCACUGGGGGCACUAUGUGAAUGGGUUUUCAGUCCCUAAUUGACUGCGUGGGUUUUCCCUGGAAUAAUACUCUGGGGGUUUUCCACGCACAUCUACAACGGAAAUUUCUUCAUUAUCUUCUCGUUUGGCUCUAAUUUGGGCGUUGAGAAUAAUUAUCCAGAUCUAGAAUGGAUUAAAAGCUUGAAAGUCAUUAAAGGUAGUGUCAUACUUCCAUAAUGACUCAGAAAAGUGCCAUUGAUUGAUAGAAAGUAUUUUUACGAAUUUGAAUAUCCAAAGAUCAUCUAGAGGCGACUUUUGGAAAUUUUCAUGGAGCCUAUUUGCAUGGAUGCUGCCCUCAAUUCAGCCACAGUUUAUGGUUGAUGGCUGCUGUCACCUUGCUUAACAAGGA